UUUACCAACUCACUCUAAUCAUUUUACAUCAAUCCAACUAGACAAGAUUCCAACUAGACAAGCAUAACUGCAUAUAUAAUGUUGCAAGGGACUUGUAACUCGGUUAAGACCAUAUUCCAGGUCCCAGAGUACGAUUCCUCCUCUCCCAAUGUUGUGAUUUGCAAUGCUCUAGUUUUAUUUUACUUUUAAAAUCUCUGGAUUUGAGACUAUAAGCAACUUUAAACCCAAAAUUAUAUGCAAGAAAGUAAUAGUUUAUAGUCACAAAAUUUUGCAGACCCUCCAGUCGUCUGAUUUAGCUGCUACUAGUUACAGGGUGUAAAAACAAUGCUGCCUGAAAUAAACCAAAACCAUUAUAUUGAAGCUGACUUUGCGCGGGUGCAAAAAUCAUCGAAAAGGAAGAGUGCAGAAACAGGGCUAAUGCAUUUUCUCUUUAGAGGAAAUGAGAUGGAAAGGGAGAGAAGCCUGCAUGCAUUAGUAGGACCGGUGGUUGGCUGCUGCAUUACAGAUUUCAGCAUAAUGGUCUUUUCCUUUGCUUUCGGGGAGAAUGAAGAUCAUCAAAAGCGUGUGUGUCGAACAAUAUUUCUCAGAAAAGUGUUGUCGAACGACUAGAAUAUUAUUCACUGGACCUGCAGAGUACAGUGCAAAUUUUAUGUAAAUACUAAACAAAUUAGCAAAAGUUUGGCAGAUUGA
RNA transcript from Malus domestica (apple), 690 nucleotides. It is a transcript of the gene named putative disease resistance protein RGA3, with no coding region annotated. NCBI's taxonomy places the organism in Eukaryota, Viridiplantae, Streptophyta, Magnoliopsida, Rosales, Rosaceae. The record is from RefSeq and is a predicted model, not a curated record.